UGGGAAUAUUGCACAAUGGGCGAAAGCCUGAUGCAGCGACGCCGCGUGAGGGAUGACGGCCUUCGGGUUGUAAACCUCUUUCAGCAGGGAAGAAGCGAAAGUGACGGUACCUGCAGAAGAAGCGCCGGCUAACUACGUGCCAGCAGCCGCGGUAAUACGUAGGGCGCAAGCGUUGUCCGGAAUUAUUGGGCGUAAAGAGCUCGUAGGCGGUUAGUCGCGUCUGCUGUGAAAACUCGAGGCUCAACCUCGGGCUUGCAGUGGGUACGGGCUGACUAGAGUGCGGUAGGGGUGACUGGAAUUCCUGGUGUAGCGGUGGAAUGCGCAGAUAUCAGGAGGAACACCGAUGGCGAAGGCAGGUCACUGGGCCGCAACUGACGCUGAGGAGCGAAAGCAUGGGGAGCGAACAGGAUUAGAUACCCUGGUAGUCCAUGCCGUAAACGUUGGGCACUAGGUGUGGGGUCCAUUUCCACGGAUUCCGUGCCGCAGCAAACGCAUUAAGUGCCCCGCCUGGGGAGUACGGCCGCAAGGCUAAAACUCAAAUGAAUUGACGGGGUCAUAGCUGUUUCCU
Molecule: ribosomal RNA, 568 nt
Filed under: uncultured bacterium
Lineage: Bacteria
Description: partial 16S ribosomal RNA
Rfam family: Bacterial small subunit ribosomal RNA
Source: RNAcentral